CGCACAUUGCGCCCGCUAGUAUUCUGGCGGGCAUGCCUGUCCGAGCGUCAUUUCAACCCUCAAGCCCCUCCGGGGACUUGGCGUUGGGAAUCGGCCCCACUUACGGGGCCGGCCCCGAAAUUCAGUGGCGGUCUCGCUGCUGCCUCCUCUGCGUAGUAGAAUACACCUCGCACUGGGAAGCGGCGCGGCCACGCCCCUCUCUGUUCAUCAGACAUAUCUUCAAGGUUGACCUCGGAUCAGGUAGGAAUACCCGCUGAACUUAA
RNAcentral lists this unclassified non-coding RNA (263 nucleotides) under Hypocreales sp. RNAcentral's name for it is "partial contains 5.8S ribosomal RNA, internal transcribed spacer 2, and large subunit ribosomal RNA". Lineage: Eukaryota; Fungi; Ascomycota; Sordariomycetes; Hypocreales. The record is from RNAcentral.